Molecule: small nuclear RNA, 153 nt
Filed under: Salmo salar (Atlantic salmon)
Lineage: Eukaryota; Metazoa; Chordata; Actinopteri; Salmoniformes; Salmonidae
Description: U2 spliceosomal RNA
Rfam family: U2 spliceosomal RNA
About the family: U2 is a small nuclear RNA (snRNA) component of the spliceosome (involved in pre-mRNA splicing). Complementary binding between U2 snRNA (in an area lying towards the 5' end but 3' to hairpin I) and the branchpoint sequence (BPS) of the intron results the bulging out of an unpaired adenosine, on the BPS, which initiates a nucleophilic attack at the intronic 5' splice site, thus starting the first of two transesterification reactions that mediate splicing.
Source: Rfam by way of RNAcentral
AUCGCUUCUCGGCCUUUUGGCUCAGAUCAAGUGUAGUAUCUGUUCUUAUCAGUUUAAUAUCUGAUACGUCCCCCAUCGGGGGACUACAUAUUAAAUGGAUUUUUCGAACAGGGAGUCGGAAAUGGGGCUUGCUCCGUCCGCUCCACGCAUCGA